UUGUUACAGCCAUUGAAGAACAAUUCACUCCCUCGUCGGGACACAAGGCCACACUGAACACCUACCACGCUCUCCUCUCCGAGACUGAGAUGGUGACGUCAGGACAAAAAGUAAUGAUAAUAAAAUUAUCAAUGUAAGAAACAUUUGAACCCGCAGAGAAUUCUUGGUGAGAAAACUCAGUUCAGAGAGGCUGAUGUCAUAGUGCUGAUUCAGUUGGUGUAGUGUAUUCUUGGUUAUCAAAAUGAGGCUGGACAGUAAGAAGCUAGGAGAAUUACUUGGCAAGUGGAAUAGGGAAACUGAGAUCAGUAGCUGAACAAACCAGCUGAGCAAUUUACAGCAGAUACAGAGGGACUUUCCUGGACACAACAUCGAGGCCUCAGUGUGUUUCAGCUCCAGACCCAGAAAAGCAGCAAAACCAGGUGGGUGAUCCCAGGACCAGCUGCAAUGACUGAUGAGGCCCUGUCCUGCCCUGACCAAUCAGUGGAGCCUAAUAAACUGAAAGGGCACACCUGGAGAACUGAUGAAUAUUCUGCUGCAGUCUUCUCUAGAGACAUGAUUCCCACCAGCAAGAGAGAGAUAAAAGCCUCAAGAUAAAGGACCCAAUGUUCUCUCCCUAUGGGAGCAGCCCAAUCCAUUCCCUUCCCUCUCUUUUUCUCUCACAAGUGUGCAUCUCCUAAACUCUAAGAGUCCUCAGGAGACUUGCAACCAGGGGAGCAAUGGGCAGUGGCAUUGGUCCCAGUCUAAUCCGCUGAACCUGUCCCCAAGGUCCUCUUUUCUCUGGCUUCCCAGUGAGCCAAGGCAGGCCAGCCUGGGCUCUCCUAUUGCUUCCUCUAUGCUGAGCCCUUUCUUGUUUCACUGCCCCCAGCUUUAAUAAGUGUACCCUCAUAGCCCCCUGGACUCAUGUUGUGAAAUUUUUCCUACACAAAGUCAAGAACCCACACAGGACAGCUGGUCCCAGGUGGACCCGUGCAGGCCAGGUCCCCGUCUGGUAACAAAAAUACACAUGUACCUUUGGGACUUUGAAAUGUGAAAAAGCAGGAAACAUAAUUGUGUGAUCUUAAUUACAUAAAAGCAGAUGCUUAGUUUUGUAGGUACAUACACGGGACCUAGAAGGACACAUCAAUUUGUGAGCUGUUUGUGAUUAUGGACGACUUUGCUCUUUGCUUCUGUGUUUUUCAGUUUCCUAUUUUCACUUUUUGACAAUAAUGUUAUUUUUAAAACCUGGAAAACAGA
Phyllostomus hastatus (greater spear-nosed bat) is the source of this 1233-nucleotide long non-coding RNA. RefSeq lists it as uncharacterized. The transcript has 4 exons. The record is from RefSeq and is a predicted model, not a curated record. NCBI's taxonomy places the organism in Eukaryota, Metazoa, Chordata, Mammalia, Chiroptera, Phyllostomidae.